CAGUUUGCACCAGCUGAGGCUCUGGCAUAGUAAAAGUAAAGCAAAGCAUGAGAAGCACAAGUGAAAGCUUUCCUCACAAUGCCCUUCCACUGUGCCUCAACCCUGACCAGAGGGAUCCCCUGAAGGGCUGAGGAGGUACUCAUUUUCCAUAGCCAGGCAAUAUUGUCCCUCU
This 172-nucleotide small RNA is filed under the name Gopherus agassizii (Agassiz's desert tortoise). Its description in RNAcentral is "TUC338 (ENSGAGG00000021714.1)". The record is from RNAcentral. Lineage: Eukaryota; Metazoa; Chordata; Testudines; Testudinidae.